UACGUAGGCAGCAAGCGUUGUUCGGAGUUAUUGGGCGUAAAGGGCGCGUAGGCGGCUCGGCACGUCCGUUGUGAAAUCGCCCGGCUCAACUGGGCGGGGUCAGCGGAUACGGCCGAGCUGGAGCAAGCUAGGGGGUAAUGGAAUUCCCGGUGUAGUGGUGGAAUGCGUAGAUAUCGGGAGGAACACCAGUGGCGAAGGCGGUUACCUGGAGCUUUGCUGACGCUGAUGCGCGAAAGCGUGGGGAGCGAUCCGG
RNAcentral lists this ribosomal RNA (253 nucleotides) under uncultured bacterium. RNAcentral's name for it is "partial 16S ribosomal RNA". It matches the Rfam family "Bacterial small subunit ribosomal RNA", at positions 524 to 776 of the family's 1533-position model. The record is from RNAcentral.